RNAcentral lists this ribosomal RNA (924 nucleotides) under uncultured bacterium. Its description in RNAcentral is "bacterial SSU rRNA". It matches the Rfam family "Bacterial small subunit ribosomal RNA", at positions 13 to 986 of the family's 1533-position model. The record is from RNAcentral.
UUGAUCCUGGCUCAGAACGUACGCUGGCGGCACGCCUAACACAUGCAAGUCGAACGCAGUAGCAAUACUGAGUGGCAGACGGGUGAGUAACAUGUGGGAAUCUGCCUUGUGGUUCAGGACAACAUUGGGAAACCGAUGCUAAUACUGGAUAAGCCCUUACGGGGAAAGUUUUAAUGCCAUAAGAUGAGCCCGCAUUUGAUUAGUUAGUUGGUGAGGUAAUGGCUCACCAAGACAAUGAUCAAUAGCUGAUCUGAGAGGAUGAUCAGCCACACUGGGACUGAGACACGGCCCAGACUCCUACGGGAGGCAGCAGUGGGGAAUCUUGCACAAUGGAGGAAACUCUGAUGCAGCGAUGCCGCGUGAGUGAAGAAGGCCUUUGGGUUGUAAAGCUCUUUUGUAGGGGAAGAUAAUGACUGUACCCUAAGAAUAAGGUCCAGCUAACUUCGUGCCAGCAGCCGCGGUAAUACGAAGGGACCUAGCGUAGUUCGGAAUUACUGGGCGUAAAGCGCGCGUAGGCCGUUGAGUUAGUUAAUUGUGAAAUCCCAAAGCUUAACUUUGGAACUGCAAUUAAAACUGCUCGACUAGAGUUUGAUAGAGGAAAGCGGAAUACAUAGUGUAGAGGUGAAAUUCGUAGAUAUUAUGUAGAACACCAGUUGCGAAGGCGGCUUUCUGGAUCAACACUGACGCUGAGGCGCGAAAGUAUGGGUAGCAAAGAGGAUUAGAUACCCUCGUAGUCCAUACCAUAAACGAUGAUUGCUAGAUGUUGGAAAUUUAUUUUCAGUAUCGCAGCUAACGCAUUAAGCAAUCCGCCUGGGGAGUACGACCGCAAGGUUAAAACUCAAAUGAAUUGACGGGGACCCGCACAAGCGGUGGAGCAUGUGGUUUAAUUCGAAGAUACGCGCAGAACCUUACCAACCCUUGACA